Molecule: non-coding RNA, 27 nt
Filed under: Homo sapiens (human)
Lineage: Eukaryota; Metazoa; Chordata; Mammalia; Primates; Hominidae
Source: RNAcentral
AUGCCGAGUUAGCGGACGAAUUUGAGC